This is a non-coding RNA of Oryza sativa Japonica Group (Japanese rice), 586 nucleotides long. The record is from RefSeq and is a predicted model, not a curated record. NCBI's taxonomy places the organism in Eukaryota, Viridiplantae, Streptophyta, Magnoliopsida, Poales, Poaceae.
CCGUUUUUCCAAUUUCACCGGAUUAAUCCCGUAAGUGAGUUGUCUGCUGACCAAAUUGCCCCUAGGGGUCCUUUUGUGCCAAAUGAAGCAGCAAGCGCCGCCACGCUGCCGCUCUACUCCGUCGUGCCGCUUUGCUCCGCCGCCGCCACUCUACUCCGCCGCAACGCUGCCGCUCUACUCCGCCGUCGCCGCCGUGCCGCUCUUAUCUGCUGCCGCCGCUAUGCCGCUUUGCUCCGCCGCCGCUGUGCCACUUUCGCCGGCGCUGAUUUGCGGAGAUGAGAGGAAACCCUAACCCUAGGGGGGCUAUGCAGCGAAGGUAUGCAGCUGGAAGCGAGGAUUUCGGGAUGUCGCAAGUAGUAGAGUGCAGAUCGAUGAGGCAUGGUGGAAAGGUUUUCUUCAAAUGCGAGGAAAACGAACAAGAUGUGCCAAAUUGUUGCAAGUUUUUCAAGUGGAUCGAAAGUUAUAGGAAGAUGGUUGAAGGAAUGAGUGAGCAUGUUGUUGAUGAAGGUCCAAGUGAUGUUGCACUGGUUGAUGGUUCUAUAGAGAUGAAGCGGAGUUCAGUUGAUGAUGGAAAGAUUGAUAAGCU